Molecule: ribosomal RNA, 456 nt
Filed under: uncultured bacterium
Lineage: Bacteria
Description: bacterial SSU rRNA
Rfam family: Bacterial small subunit ribosomal RNA
Source: RNAcentral
AGAGUUUGAUCAUGGCUCAGAACGAACGCUGGCGGCAUGCCUAACACAUGCAAGUCGAACGAGACCUUCGGGGUCUAGUGGCGCACGGGUGCGUAACGCGUGGGAAUCUGCCCUUGGGUUCGGAAUAACAGCGAGAAAUUGCUGCUAAUACCGGAUGAUGACGUAAGUCCAAAGAUUUAUCGCCCAAGGAUGAGCCCGCGUAGGAUUAGCUAGUUGGUGAGGUAAAAGGCUCACCAAAGGCGACGAUCCUUAGCUGGUCUGAGAGGAUGAUCAGCCACACUGGGACUGAGACACGGCCCAGACUCCUACGGGAGGCAGCAGUGGGGAAUAUUGGACAAUGGGCGAAAGCCUGAUCCAGCAAUGCCGCGUGAGUGAUGAAGGCCUUAGGGUUGUAAAGCUCUUUUACCCGGGAUGAUAAUGACAGUACCGGGAGAAUAAGCUCCGGCUAACUCCGUG